CAGUGAAUAUUUUAUUUAAAAUUUAAAUUUUGGAGAUUUAAGAUGUGUAUAAAUUACUCUUCAUUGA
This 67-nucleotide transfer RNA is filed under the name Extensus latus. Its description in RNAcentral is "tRNA-Pro". The record is from RNAcentral. Lineage: Eukaryota; Metazoa; Arthropoda; Insecta; Hemiptera; Cicadellidae.